UAGGGAAUCUUCGGCAAUGGGGGCAACCCUGACCGAGCAGCGCCGCGUGAGUGAAGGAGGUUUUCGGAUCGUAAAGCUCUGUUGUAAGAGAAGAACGAGUGUGAGAGUGGAAAGUUCACACUGUGACGGUAACUUACCAGAAAGGGACGGCUAACUACGUGCCAGCAGCCGCGGUAAUACGUAGGUCCCGAGCGUUAUCCGGAUUUAUUGGGCGUAAAGCGAGCGCAGGCGGUUAGAUAAGUCUGAAGUUAAAGGCUGUGGCUUAACCAUAGUACGCUUUGGAAACUGUUUAACUUGAGUGCAGAAGGGGAGAGUGGAAUUCCAUGUGUAGCGGUGAAAUGCGUAGAUAUAUGGAGGAACACCGGUGGCGAAAGCGGCUCUCUGGUCUGUAACUGACGCUGAGGCUCGAAAGCGUGGGGAGCAAACAGGAUUAGAUACCCUGGUAGUCCACGCCGUAAACGAUGAGUGCUAGGUGUUGGGUCCUUUCCGGGACUCAGUGCCGCAGCUAACGCAUUAAGCACUCCGCCUGGGGAGUACGACCGCAAGGUUG
Molecule: ribosomal RNA, 550 nt
Filed under: uncultured bacterium
Lineage: Bacteria
Description: bacterial SSU rRNA
Rfam family: Bacterial small subunit ribosomal RNA
Source: RNAcentral